This 253-nucleotide ribosomal RNA is filed under the name uncultured bacterium. RNAcentral describes it as "partial 16S ribosomal RNA". It matches the Rfam family "Bacterial small subunit ribosomal RNA", at positions 524 to 776 of the family's 1533-position model. The record is from RNAcentral.
UACAGAGGGGGCAAGCGUUGUUCGGAAUUACUGGGCGUAAAGGGCGCGUAGGCGGCCUUCUAAGUCGAACGUGAAAUCCCCGGGCUCAACCCGGGAACUGCGUCCGAGACUGGAAGGCUUGAAUCCGGGAGAGGGAUGUGGAAUUCCAGGUGUAGCGGUGAAAUGUGUAGAUAUCUGGAGGAACAUCGGUGGCGAAGGCGGCUUGCUGGGCUUUGUCUGACGCUGAGGCGCGAAAGCGUGGGGAGCGAACAGG